RNAcentral lists this small RNA (127 nucleotides) under Salmonella enterica. RNAcentral's name for it is "RtT sRNA". It matches the Rfam family "RtT RNA". From Rfam's summary of the family: This family represents a bacterial cis-regulatory element known as RtT RNA. Lineage: Bacteria; Pseudomonadati; Pseudomonadota; Gammaproteobacteria; Enterobacterales; Enterobacteriaceae. The record is from RNAcentral.
UAUCUCUCUGUACAGGGAAGGAUGAGAAGCUUCGAUUAAGGUUAGACUCGAACGGAAGCGAGAGAACGUUGCCAACGGCAACGGCCCGAAGGGCGCGACGCGCCGAGUCAUCCUUCCCCCACCACAA